UACGGAGGGUGCAAACGUUGCUCGGAAUCAUUGGGCGUAAAGCGCACGUAGGCGGUCGGCUAUGUCGGAUGUGAAAGCCUCGGGCUUAACCCGAGAAGGGCAUCCGAAACUGGCCGGCUUGAGUACGGAAGAGGGUCUCGGAAUUCCCGGUGUAGAGGUGAAAUUCGUAGAUAUCGGGAGGAACACCAGUGGCGAAGGCGGAGACCUGGGCCGAUACUGACGCUGAGGUGCGAAAGCGUGGGGAGCAAACGGG
This 253-nucleotide ribosomal RNA is filed under the name uncultured bacterium. Its description in RNAcentral is "partial 16S ribosomal RNA". It matches the Rfam family "Bacterial small subunit ribosomal RNA", at positions 524 to 776 of the family's 1533-position model. The record is from RNAcentral.